This 229-nucleotide ribosomal RNA is filed under the name uncultured bacterium. Its description in RNAcentral is "partial 16S ribosomal RNA". It matches the Rfam family "Bacterial small subunit ribosomal RNA", at positions 568 to 796 of the family's 1533-position model. The record is from RNAcentral.
UCCGUAGGCGGAAUAAUAAGUCAGUGGUGAAAGUCUGCAGCUCAACUGUAGAAUUGCCAUUGAUACUGUUAUUCUUGAAUUAUUAUGAAGUGGUUGGAAUGAGUAGUGUAGCGGUGAAAUGCAUAGAUAUUACUCAGAACACCUAUUGCGAAGGCAGAUCACUAAUAAUAUAUUGACGCUGAGGGACGAAAGCGUAGGUAGCGAACAGGAUUAGAUACCCUGGUAGUCC